AUGCAGUGUACCCGCGGCAAGACGGAAAGACCCCGUGAACCUUUACUAUAGCUUGACACUGAACAUUGAGCCUUGAUGUGUAGGAUAGGUGGGAGGCUUUGAAGUGUGGACGCCAGUCUGCAUGGAGCCGACCUUGAAAUACCACCCUUUAAUGUUUGAUGUUCUAACGUUGGCCCGUAAUCCGGGUUGCGGACAGUGUCUGGUGGGUAGUUUGACUGGGGCGGUCUCCUCCUAAAGAGUAACGGAGGAGCACGAAGGUUGGCUAAUCCUGGUCGGACAUCAGGAGGUUAGUGCAAUGGCAUAAGCCAGCUUGACUGCGAGCGUGACGGCGCGAGCAGGUGCGAAAGCAGGUCAUAGUGAUCCGGUGGUUCUGAAUGGAAGGGCCAUCGCUCAACGGAUAAAAGGUACUCCGGGGAUAACAGGCUGAUACCGCCCAAGAGUUCAUAUCGACGGCGGUGUUUGGCACCUCGAUGUCGGCUCAUCACAUCCUGGGGCUGAAGUAGGUCCCAAGGGUAUGGCUGUUCGCCAUUUAAAGUGGUACGCGAGCUGGGUUUAGAACGUCGUGAGACAGUUCGGUCCCUAUCUGCCGUGGGCGCUGGAGAACUGAGGGGGGCUGCUCCUAGUACGAGAGGACCGGAGUGGACGCAUCACUGGUGUUCGGGUUGUCAUGCCAAUGGCACUGCCCGGUAGCUAAAUGCGGAAGAGAUAAGUGCUGAAAGCAUCUAAGCACGAAACUUGCCCCGAGAUGAGUUCUCCCUGACUCCUUGAGGGUCCUGAAGGAACGUUGAAGACGACGACGUUGAUAGGCCGGGUGUGUAAGCGCAGCGAUGCGUUGAGCUAACCGGUACUAAUGAACCGUGAGGCUUAACCUUACAACGCCGAAG
Molecule: ribosomal RNA, 884 nt
Filed under: Escherichia coli
Lineage: Bacteria; Pseudomonadati; Pseudomonadota; Gammaproteobacteria; Enterobacterales; Enterobacteriaceae
Description: partial 23S ribosomal RNA
Rfam family: Bacterial large subunit ribosomal RNA
Source: RNAcentral